CCUUCCUCCAUCAUUUCGGCAACUAGACUUCCUGGUUGUGCAGAGGGCUGUUGUCUGGGACAGUGAUCUGUAUAAGCCUUUCCGCUUUCCACUGGAGACAGUCUUUCAGCCUCAAUGGCCUUUCAGGAUCUUUGGAUUGACUCAGAAGCAUGGGAAGAUUCCAGAUCCUUCAGAUAGCUUUCCUUCUAAUCUGCAAUGUCACAGUGGCUCCUCAGACUCUUUUGGAGAACUUCACUGCAGCCAUGCCUGGUUAUCGCUGCUGGAUUCACAUCCUUGACAAUGACACUGUAUCUGACAUUAACAGUGGUAUCCUGAGCCAAGAUGACCUCCUGAGGAUCUCAGUCCCACUGACUCCAACCCGAGGCCAGAGAAGUGUCGUUGCUUUGUCCAACCACAGUGGCAUCUCCUUCAUUUGAAUGGCACCUUCUCUGGCAAUACUUGAAUUCUUGCUCUCACUGUUUUUGAGGAUGAACUGUUACAUGGAAAUAAGAGGGAAAUAAAAAAUUUUCUUCGCAAGUUGCUUGUCAUACAGGUCUUCCACUUGUUUGGUUAGAGUUACUCAGAGAUAUUUUACUCUAUUUGAAGCUAUAUGAAGGGUGAUGUUUCUCUGAUUUCAUUCUCAGCCCAUUUAUCACUUGUGUAAUGGAGGGAUACUGAUUUUUUCUUUUGCGUUAAACUUGUAUCCUUCUACAUUACCAAAAGUAUUUAUGAGUUAUAGAAGAUCCUCAGUAGAAUUUAUGGGGUUAAUUAUGUAAACUUUCAUAUCAUCAGCAAAUAGUGAGAGUUUUACUUCUUUUCUGGUUUAUAUCCUCUUGAUCUCCUGUUGUUGUCUUACUGCUCUAGCUAGGACCUCAAAAACUAUAUUGCAUAGAUAUGGAGAAAGUGAACAACCUUGUCUUGUUCCUGACUUCAGUGGAAUCAUUGUGAGUUUCUCUCCAUUUAGUUUGAUGUUAGCUGUUGGCUUGUUUCAUAUUGCCUUUAUUAUGUUUAGGUAUGUUCUUUGUAUCUUUGUUCUCUCCAGGACCUUUAUCAUGAAGGGAUGUUGUAUUUUGUCAAAGGCUUUUCCAACAUCUAAUGAGAUGAUAAUGUGGUUUUUAUUUUUCAGUUUGUUUAUAUGGUGGAUUACAUUGGCAGAUUUUUGUAUAUUGAACCAUCCCCACAUCUCUGGGAUGAAGAUGACUUGAUCAUAGUGAAUGAUUUUUCUGGAUUCGAUUUGCAGAUAUUUUACUAUUUUUUAUUUAUUUUUAAUUAAAAAUUUCCACCUCCUCCCCUCCUCCCAUUUCCCUCCCCCUCUCCCUCCCUCUCCAGUCCAAAGAACAGUCAGGGUUCCCUGCCCUGUGGGAAGUCCAAGGUCCUCCCCCCUCCAUCCAGGUCUAGGAAUGUAAGCAUCCAAACAGACUAGGCUCCCACAAAGCCAGUACAUGCGGUAGGAUCAAAACCCAGUGCCAUUGUCCUCGGCUUCUCAGUCAGCCCUCCUUGUCCGCCACCUUCAGAGAGUCCGGUUUGAUCACAUGUUCCAUCAGUCCCAGUCCAGCUGACUUUGGAGCAGACACUGUGGCCAGCAUGAAGAUCCCCAACAGGAAAGAGAAAAAGAAUUGACUUAUUCUACGGCCAAUCCGAUUCAUCAAAAUCAUUGCAGCAAAAGAGGCUGGGAUGGCUGAUGCAGC
Alexandromys fortis (reed vole) is the source of this 1667-nucleotide long non-coding RNA. RefSeq lists it as uncharacterized. The transcript is spliced from 3 exons. NCBI's taxonomy places the organism in Eukaryota, Metazoa, Chordata, Mammalia, Rodentia, Cricetidae. The record is from RefSeq and is a predicted model, not a curated record.